CGUCUGCCUUCUUUCACCUGCUCUACGGAAAACGGUCAUUGACCUCCACCCACCCCUCUCCUCAUCCUUCUUCUCCCACACAUACAUACGUGGACGUUCACACGCACAAGGGCACAGCCACCACAUCGCUACUUUCUUCAGAGUCUUUGCUCCCUCGUUCAGCCAUGUCUCCACCACUCCUCCGCUGCGCCGCCCCGCCCCUCCCCCCACUAUCACCUUUCCGUAAGAAUCGGUCUUUUCUCUACCCCCGCCCCCUCCCAUCCCCAGCAGGUACUCCUUCCACUGCAUCCACAAAUGGCCGCUGCUCCGUAAGCUGCCGUGAUGAACGCUUCCGUGCAGAAGGCUGGCGUCCCCACCCCCGCCCCCACGGCGCCUGCAACGUAGAGGAUGUCGAGGUGGGUGUCUUGCUACACGAUUUUUUUUCGACUUUUGAAGCGAACCAAUGAGAAAACACAAGAUGUCUGUGGGGCCGGGGGUCUCAGCACACACCAGGGUAGAGAUGUUGUAAAAGGUAAAAAAGGAGAGGGACGUGCACGAAGAAGUGAAAGGCGUGUGCUGUACUAUGCCGGCCUGCUUACGAGUUCGACAUGAGCGUGGGGUACAACUGCGCCACUCAGAAACGAGGCGGUUUCGCCCUUCUGCUUUGUGUUGCUUAGCUUCAGGCUUGCCACAGAGGUGGUCACGCGAGUGUGCGGAAAGGAUUGGGCUCCCGCUUCUGUGUUGUGUCUUCUUCGCCGUCUCAUGUCUCUUCUGCGUUGUCGACGUGAGGCGGUUGGUGAUUGUGUAUUAUCCGCGCCCCCGUACCUCCCUCCCUCCACCUCGUUUUACCCCCCCCCUCUGUUUCUUUUAUCGACGGCCAUGUUAUUUUUUUUUUCCUAUCAGUUUUUUUUUUGUUCUGUCUGCGUGUGUGCGUCUGCGUUUGUCCUGAUGCACAGCCCUGUUGUACCUCACUGAAGCUCUCGCACCCUCUUGCUCUUUCGCUCUCACUCUCGCUCUCUCUCCCUGCCCACGCCUGCAGGUCUUUCUCCUUCUUCUCAUGCCCUCUGCUUCUCUCAGCUUUCAUCUAUACAUAUGCAUAACUAUAUUGGGGCGAAUGUCUCUACUCUGUGAGCAAGACAAAGAAAGGGAAGUGGGGUGGGCAAAGGAAGCACAUGUGGCCACGUAAGAAGAACAGAGGAGUGACGCGCGCUGUGGUUCCCGUGUCUAGUUGACCCAUUCAGCGUCGCGGUCCCUCUUGCUUCUCUGAAUGUGCGCUUGCUCCGCUUGCACCAGACCCGCAUCGCUUCCCUCCCUAGCUCUUUCCCUUACAUGGGCCAAGGUGCAGCCCUGCGCAAAGUCG
Molecule: unclassified non-coding RNA, 1339 nt
Filed under: Leishmania donovani
Lineage: Eukaryota; Euglenozoa; Kinetoplastea; Trypanosomatida; Trypanosomatidae
Description: gene:unknown
Source: RNAcentral